CCUACGGGGGGCAGCAGUGAGGAAUAUUGGUCAAUGGUCGGGAGACUGAACCAGCCAAGCCGCGUGAGGGAGGAAGGUACAGAGUAUCGUAAACCUCUUUUGUCAGGGAACAAAGGCGGGGACGUGUCCCCGGAUGAGUGUACCUGAAGACAAAGCAUCGGCAAACUCCGUGCCAGCAGCCGCGGUAAUACGGAGGAUGCGAGCGUUAUCCGGAUUUAUUGGGUUUAAAGGGUGCGCAGGCGGUCUGUUAAGUCAGCGGUCAAAGCCCGGGGCUCAACCCCGGCCCGCCGUUGAAACUGGCAGUCUUGAGUUGGAGAGAAGUAUGCGGAAUGCGCGGUGUAGCGGUGAAAUGCAUAGAUAUCGCGCAGAACUCCGAUUGCGAAGGCAGCAUGCCGGCUCCACACUGACGCUGAGGCACGAAAGCGUGGGUAUCGAACAGGAUUAGAUACCCGAGUAGUC
RNAcentral lists this ribosomal RNA (459 nucleotides) under uncultured bacterium. RNAcentral's name for it is "partial 16S ribosomal RNA". It matches the Rfam family "Bacterial small subunit ribosomal RNA", at positions 338 to 795 of the family's 1533-position model. The record is from RNAcentral.